Molecule: long non-coding RNA, 282 nt
Organism: Triplophysa rosa
Lineage: Eukaryota; Metazoa; Chordata; Actinopteri; Cypriniformes; Nemacheilidae
Exons: 3
Source: RefSeq, a predicted model, not a curated record
AGAGCGACUGCUGUAAGGCGUUUGUGCAAAACUGCGGAAAAACUGCAGAAAAAGUGUGGGUGUUGAACCCUCUCACCGGGAAAAGCCACGGGUGCGACGCGCCUGCCCAGAACGAUUGCUCCAUCUACUGUGAUUUCUCACAAGAUCCUGACCACGGUGUGGAAUAUUAACAAGACUGCCUGAUAUCUCCCUGUGGGGCCUGACUGCUUCGCAUUAGAAAGCAUUUGGCAGCUCUCGAAAUGACAACAACUGACAGUCUGGAGACCUUAUGAUGCGUACCAG